RNAcentral lists this ribosomal RNA (444 nucleotides) under uncultured bacterium. RNAcentral describes it as "bacterial SSU rRNA". It matches the Rfam family "Bacterial small subunit ribosomal RNA", at positions 335 to 769 of the family's 1533-position model. The record is from RNAcentral.
ACUCCUACGGGAGGCAGCAGUAGGGAAUCUUUCCCACAAUGGGCGAAAGCCUGAUGGAGCAACGCCGCGUGGGUGAAGAAGGUCUUCGGAUCGUAAAACCCUGUUGUUAGAGAAGAAAGUGCGAGAGAGUAACUGUUCACGUUUCGACGGUAUCUAACCAGAAAGCCACGGCUAACUACGUGCCAGCAGCCGCGGUAAUACGUAGGUGGCAAGCGUUAUCCGGAUUUAUUGGGCGUAAAGGGAACGCAGGCGGUCUUUUAAGUCUGAUGUGAAAGCCUUCGGCUUAACCGGAGUAGUGCAUUGGAAACUGGGAGACUUGAGUGCAGAAGAGGAGAGUGGAACUCCAUGUGUAGCGGUGAAAUGCGUAGAUAUAUGGAAGAACACCAGUGGCGAAAGCGGCUCUCUGGUCUGUAACUGACGCUGAGGUUCGAAAGCGUGGGUAGC